Molecule: transfer RNA, 74 nt
Filed under: Bacteroidota bacterium
Lineage: Bacteria; Pseudomonadati; Bacteroidota
Also listed under: 1 other name
Description: Bacteroidetes bacterium tRNA-Gln
Rfam family: tRNA
About the family: Transfer RNA (tRNA) molecules are approximately 80 nucleotides in length.
Source: RNAcentral
UGGCCCAUGGUGUAAUGGUAGCACAGCAGAUUUUGGUUCUGUUUGUCUGGGUUCGAGUCCUAGUGGGCCAACAA